AAAGCGAGUCUGAAUAGGGCGACGAGUUCGAGGGAUAAGACCCGAAACCGAGUGAUCUAGCCAUGUGCAGGUUGAAGGUGCGGUAACACGCACUGGAGGACCGAACCCACGUCUGUUGAAAAAGACGGGGAUGACGUGUGGCUAGGGGUGAAAGGCCAAUCAAACUCGGAAAUAGCUGGUUCUCCGCGAAAUCUAUUUAGGUAGAGCGUCAUUGGAUUACCAUCGGGGGUAG
RNAcentral lists this ribosomal RNA (232 nucleotides) under Alexandrium margalefii. RNAcentral describes it as "partial Bacterial large subunit ribosomal RNA". It matches the Rfam family "Bacterial large subunit ribosomal RNA", at positions 674 to 905 of the family's 2925-position model. The record is from RNAcentral. Lineage: Eukaryota; Dinophyceae; Gonyaulacales; Pyrocystaceae.